Long non-coding RNA from Bubalus bubalis (water buffalo), 3681 nucleotides. RefSeq lists it as uncharacterized. The record is from RefSeq and is a predicted model, not a curated record. The transcript is spliced from 6 exons. Lineage: Eukaryota; Metazoa; Chordata; Mammalia; Artiodactyla; Bovidae.
GGUGCCACCUGGGAAACCCAAUAACAGAGACUGUUGAAAUUAUUUACUCUGGCCAGGUGUGCUAACCCUAAAAAUUACAGUGAUGUUUUCUGUGCUUAGAUGAGGGUUAAAAAUAGCAUUGCAAAGAGUAGUGCUUUCUCCAUCUUUAGUGUGUAUCAGAACCACCUGGAAGACUUGUUAGAUUUCUGGGCCCAACCCCAAGCAUUUUUAAUUCAGUAGGUCUGAGGUGCAGAUCUGCAUUUCUAACAAGUUCCCAGGUCUGCUGCUGGUGCUGGUCUGUGCGUGCCCGCUCAGUCACGUCGGACUCUUUGUGGCCCUAUGGACUAUAGCCCGCCAGGCUCCUUCCUCUGUCCAAGGAAUUCUCCAGGCAAGAAUGCUGGAGUGGGUUGCGGUUUACUACUCCAGGGAAUCUUCCCAACCCACCCGAGUCUCUUGCAUCUCCUGCAUUGGCAGGAGGGUCUUUUACUAGUGCCACCUGGGAAGCCCUGCUGCUGGUCUAUGGUUAUCAUUUUGAGAGUCAUUGGUGUAAAGUAUAGAUCCUUAUACAGAGAGACCUGUAACCGGACCACAGGUCUGAGGACUGGGACUUCCUUCCUGAUUUGGCUCUUCUGGAAAUACAGCACUGUGUGGAAGAGACAAAGACUCUGGUCAUCUACUUUAGAGUGAGGGCUGCAGUCAAUACGACAUAAAGGACAGUUACCAAGAUCAAAGUACAGUCUCUGGCUGAGGGUAAAAAGCAAUGCAGAGAAAGGGAGAGAGAAAGAACAAAGGGGAGUUCGCUGGAUAUUGACUACAUGCUACGAAGGAUCAGCAAUGUGGGAAAUGGAUGUGAAGAAAUGGAAAAGAGAGCAGGACUUUCAAUAGAAGCAUUAUCUCUUCUGUGGCAUCAGUGACAGCAUGGAAGAGCUCCAUACCUGAUUCUCUCCAAUGGAAGGCUUAAUGCAUCUGAUGCUGCUGAGCUUAAGACACUGCUUUGCCCACACCCGUGUUGCUAGCAUGCACUGUGGGGACAGGAGGAUGCCAAUCAUUGGCAAGCCAUGCAGGGAGUUUGUGAUUCCAGAAUGGCUUAAGCUACCAGAAACAGGGGCUGGGGCAGCCUCUUUAGAGUAAGAACACAGCUCAGGUACACAGAAGGCCACCAGGAUGUCUUGGCAUAAUGAGAGAGCUUGAGACCAUUUUUCUUCUCUGCCAUCAUCGGUGCCAAUGGAAGUGGACAGCUCACUUUGGAGACCCAUGCACUGGAGACCCAGUCUGAGUUCUAUGCCUGAGCUGCCUCUGCUGCUGACUUUGAACAUUUGCAUCAGCGUCUACAGCUAAAACCAGAUCCCUUGUACCUCUCCCUGGAAACUGAACUUGAUCCUGGGUGGUGUUGCUCCUUCCAAACUCCAUGUCUGGCUCCUGGGUGAAUAGAAGAACAAUGGAGAGUGAAAAUCCCACCUAUUACUAAAGGCUGAUCUUAUCAUUGACCCUACCCUUCCCUUUCCCCGUGCUGUCCUUAGGCCUAGUGGGACAACAAGAAGAGGCAAGUCUCACUGGUGGAAUUCCAGGCUGUCCUCUGGUUUUUACACUUUUCAUCAUGGUUGGAAUUUUGUAUCUUACCCUUAGGAGCUCUGGCUUCAUCCUCUCUCUCCAUUUCUAUCUCUUUUAAAUAUCUAUAUCCACAGAAAAAGAUUUGAUAAACUCAGUAACUCUAAGGUAAAUUGCCAAUAUGUUUUGAACUGUGACUGCCCCCUUUCUGAUAUGCUUGUAAUAGGCUUGAAGACAAGGCAGGCAGGGGGUGUUUAAUUUCAGAAAUUUCACAGGUGUUUGUUUAGUGAUUCUAAAACUACUCACCACAAAUCACUGCUCUUAUAAAAGACUUCCCCAGUUGUCAUCCAUAUAGUUUAAAGAUUUUUUUUCAUCAAAAUAAACUUAUUAAGUUGCUUUCCCCAUUAAUGAUCUUAUGGGUUGAUAUAAUUUUAAUCAAAACAGAAACUGAGGUUAGGCUAUAUAGUUUUAGGUUGACCUGGUUAAUUUGUAAGGACCAAUAUGGUUGGAUGAGAGAAAAUGCCACUAAGUAUUACAGAAAAGAAAUGUCUCAAUGGAAGAUGUUUCCCUUGUAACCUAUAUUUUAUCAAUCAUCAAAUCUGUAAGCUCUACUUCUAAAAUAUAUGCUGCAUCUCAUUACUCUUUACCAGACCCAUAUUUCAGAUACAAGCUGAAGACAACAUAACUUCUCACCUGGACUAAUACAUAAGUCUACUUAAUUAUUCCCUCUGCUUCCACAUUUGUAUCCUUUGUGCACUUAGCUCCAUUUCUUCAUUCAGCGACUAGGGCAAUCGACUCAAAGGGUAAUUCAGAUCACAUCACUCCUUGCUUAAAAUCCUCAACGGCUUCUCAGUUCAAUUAAGAUGGAAUCUAAAGUCCUUUCUAAGACCCAGGAAGCUCUAAGGGAUCUGCCCCAAAUUUCCUUGCUGAUCACACCUUUUUCUGUCCCCUCUCCCCAUCCUAGGGAUUUUGGCAACAAUGGUUUAGCUUUCUUGUGUUUAAAUAGGAAACAUUUGUCCCUAGCUCAAGGCCUUUGUUCCAACCAUCUGCCCCUGCCUAGAUUAACCUUCUCUCAGAUCGUCAUGUGACCUUCCCCUUCUUAGGACUUAUGUUUCAGCUCAUUGUCCCCUUCUCAGACCAAUUUCCUCAGACUCAAAUUUGCCCUCAUCUCCUGCCCAGUCUAUUUCAUCAUACACUUUAUUCUUCAGAGCAUAGUCCCUGCCUGGAGUCAUCUUGUUGAUCUGUUGAUGUGUUUAUUUUUGUCUUCUCUCACUGGACCAUGUGCUUCAGAAGAGCGGGAAACUGGGCUUUCUUGGUUACUGCUGCAAUCCCAGAGCCUGAAAUAUUAUGUGCCACUUAGUCAGUGCUCAAUAAAUGUUUGUUGAAUUCAAAGAAAAGUACCAGAGGCACAAUCAGCUUCAUUGGCCCAGCCACGAAAUAUUAAGUCAUCAGAUAUCAUUUAUAAACAGUGAGCAAGACACAGAGCAGUGUCUGAAAGCUAGAUGUUUUUAUAAAAUGAUUACUCCAAAUGAAAUAAGGGGGAUUUAUUUCGAACAGUCUGAGAGUGAAUGGGCUUAAAUCAUGUCUGGUUGGAUUGGGUUGGUCAACAAGUAGCAAAAUAAACAUCAGUCAGAUUUGAGGUUUUAGUAUGUUGUGCUUGCUUUUAUUAAAACAGCAGUAUUUUUAAAUGACCUGAAGCUCACACUUCUAUUGCAGUGACUAGUCAGCUUGAAAAAUGUGUUUCUUCAGGGUGGGAGGAGAAUUUUAAGUUCAUAAUUCAUUUGCUGUGAAGUUCAUUUGUUAAAGCUAGCCCUAUUCUCUUGCAUUAUUUCCUUCUGGGACAUUUUGCCUUUUCUCUCUCUUUUUAUCAUACUUUACGCAUGUAUGAACAUACAUAUAAAUAAGAAAUUAUAAAACACAGUUUAUGUUAGUAGAAAAAGCAUUUUGAAUAUUUGUAUGUGUAGAGUGGAGCAUGCUUUCUUAUGUUUCAUUAUAAUUGGGCUUGUAAUGUUAAAAUGUGGAGUGAAUAUGAACACAAAGAGCACAUACUUUUUUCUCUCCCUAUUUAUGGCUCCAAACAAGAAUUCUAUCAAGUUUAUGUUUGGAAAUGUGGCUAAAUCAGAUCAGGGAAUAAAGCUCACAUGGAUCUCUGAA